Molecule: ribosomal RNA, 493 nt
Filed under: uncultured bacterium
Lineage: Bacteria
Description: partial 16S ribosomal RNA
Rfam family: Bacterial small subunit ribosomal RNA
Source: RNAcentral
GAGUGAACGCUGGCGGUAGGCCUAACACAUGCAAGUCGAACGGCAGCACAGUAAGAGCUUGCUCUUACGGGUGGCGAGUGGCGGACGGGUGAGGAAUACAUCGGAAUCUACUUUUUCGUGGGGGAUAACGUAGGGAAACUUACGCUAAUACCGCAUACGACCUACGGGUGAAAGCAGGGGAUCUUCGGACCUUGCGCGAUUGAAUGAGCCGAUGUCGGAUUAGCUAGUUGGCGGGGUAAAGGCCCACCAAGGCGACGAUCCGUAGCUGGUCUGAGAGGGUGAUCAGCCACACUGGAACUGAGACACGGUCCAGACUCCUACGGGAGGCAGCAGUGGGGAAUAUUGGACAAUGGGCGCAAGCCUGAUCCAGCCAUACCGCGUGGGUGAAGAAGGCCUUCGGGUUGUAAAGCCCUUUUGUUGGGAAAGAAAAGCAGCAGGUUAAUACCCCGCUGUUCUGACGGUACCCAAAGAAUAAGCACCGGCUAACUACGUG